This 529-nucleotide long non-coding RNA is filed under the name Chinchilla lanigera (long-tailed chinchilla). RNAcentral's name for it is "lncRNA (ENSCLAG00000028437.1)". Lineage: Eukaryota; Metazoa; Chordata; Mammalia; Rodentia; Chinchillidae. The record is from RNAcentral.
AUGAGACUCGGGCAGGGGCACACCUCGCACUUCCUUUCUCCUCUGUUUUACGUUUAUUUUUCCUCCCUAACGCAACCUAGCGCUGGAACCGAGAGGGGCCGACCGAUUGCGGUGACUGCGUUUCUCCCGUGUAGAUGCUACCGCAGUCGCCGACGUCCCUUUUCAAAGGAUGCAAGCUCCCCGCCGGGAGCCGGAGGUGUUCUGCGGCCGUUCUGCCAGAGGCGCGGGCAGGAGCUGCACCUGCUUCCCGCUGUCUUAAUCAAGCCGCAUCCUUGUUUCCAUUUACGGAGCACCAGGGUGGGAAGAAGUGUCCCCUGUGCUCAGAUGAGGACUGGCAGGAUUACUUGAUAUCCAAAGUGUGGCACGGAGUCCCUGACAGUAGAAACUUACAUUCCAAAAACAAAAUGUAGAAUGAUACCUGUGAAAUAAAAUUUUUCAUUUUAGUAACUUAUAUGUACACUUUAGUAGUGUUACAUUUUUUCACAUCGUUGUGUAACUGAUCUGAACUUUUUCAUCUGGCAAACUGACC